UUAUUUCUCUUAUAUGAUUUAUCUGCUUCUUAUAUACCCCAUGAGCAAGGAAAAUAUAAUAUACAUUUUCUUGAAAAUUAAAUUCUUUAAGUGAGGGAGUAAAUUGUCUCAACAUAUCCAUAUUUAAAUUCGAGGUAUUCAGAUUUUUGAACAUUUUGGUUGAGUUACUAAAGUCGCUUUUAUUCUAAUCAAUUUGGGGGUAAAAUAGGUGAUAGAUAGAUAUUCCCAGAACCUAUGAAUUGUGUUUUGAGAGAUCCCAUGAUAUGGAUAAUCUAGGAUGCUGAAAUAUGCUCAACACUGGCCUACACACUAUUUCCAUUAUUUAAUUAGGAUCUCCUAUUGGACGCGGUAACACUUGAGUUACUAGAGUGAAAAAUGGAGUGCAGGGGUGUAUAGCAGCCAAUCAGCUUCUAACUUUAGCUGCUUUAAUUAAGCUUUGAAAAUAAAACCUGGAAGUUGAUUGGUUUCUAGGCAGAUUUGCACCAGCUUUUGCACUCCCCAGAUUUACUAAAUCAACCCCACAUAAGAAGUUUGCCAAAAUCUGACCAGUAUAUGAUGUAAUCCAAUUAAGUGACACUGCAGUUAGGAAUAAAACAAGUAAAAUAAUAUCGUGAUAAUAUGUAAAACUUCACUAAAUCCAAUAUUUGUGUUCUAAUCUAUACCACAGAGAAACAUAAAUCCCCAGGGCUGUCACAUGUGGAUUAUUCUGCCAGCUAUUAAGUCAAAUAUUGGGUAUUUUCUUUGAGGGUUGAGAAGGACAAAGAUGGCAGUCACAAAUUAAUUAGAUAACAAACAUGUGCUUUAUAAGUUAUUUUUUUUUCUUUCCUCUCCUGGUUAAUAAACCCUUGACGUUAUUAUCAGAAAAGCUCUUGGUCCUUUGUACUGAGUCUAUAUAAAAAGGGCAGAUAAUGAAGACUGUAUUAACCGCCCUGUACAAGUUGAAUAAACAAAGGUGUCUAGGUCUCAAUACACAUCCCUGGGAGAGGGUGACAAGAGUCAGGAGAGGGCUCAGAUACACACAGGACCAACACUGGGAAUAAUGUGCCAUCUCUGCUCCAAGCUAAUAAUGUUAGCCCUCAGCCACAUGAAUGAGAGCACAUUAUACAUUAAACAGAACACACCUGAACACUCACCAGCCCAGCCAGUCCUCUGCAAAAUGCCGCCUGCCUUUAUUUUCUAAUAUUUAUUUUUUAAUCAAUCAAGAAUUCUUCAGCCUGUUUUUCUCCGACUUAAAAGAAUGAGAGGAGGUCAGAGGUGGGGUCUGUGCCAAGACUGAAGACAAGAAUGCAUACCAUUAAAUAACCUCCCUUUAUAUGGACCAACUGCCUCUAGAUUUAGGGUGCCUGCACUACUGGGUACCUACCUAUCUCUGCUGGGGUGCACUGUAUUUUAUGGAGGGCAAGCAAAAUAUAAGUCCAGAUCUGAGCUGCAUGACAGAAUGGCAGAACCCAGAAAUGAUGAUCUCCAAUUUGCUUUUGCUUGUAAAUGGCUGUAAAGAUCCAUAAUAAAAAUGUGAUGUAUGGACGGGCGCUCUUUGUUGUAGUUGUACGCGGCUUAUGUUACGGAUCUGAGAAGUCCCAUACAGUUGUCCCGGGUCAACUCUUUUUAUUAUUUACAGGAAGAAGACAGUAAACAUUUCAUUUCAUCAACUUCUCCCGGAUAUAUAUAUAUUUUUAUUGAUGUCUUUAGUAUAAAUGACACACUCUGAUCACUCCUAGCAGUUGUAUCGGUUUUGUGUAGAAAUAA
Long non-coding RNA from Rana temporaria (common frog), 1746 nucleotides. RefSeq lists it as uncharacterized. The record is from RefSeq and is a predicted model, not a curated record. Lineage: Eukaryota; Metazoa; Chordata; Amphibia; Anura; Ranidae. The transcript has 2 exons.